CAUCCCGAUGAAAGCAGAGUAAUGUCUGCCGCCCUUCGGGGCAUUGGAGACAGGUGGUGCAUGGUUGUCGUCAGCUCGUGUCGUGAGAUGUUGGGUUAAGUCCCGCAACGAGCGCAACCCCUGCCGUCAGUAGCCAGCAGGUAAAGCUGGGCACUCUGAUGGGACAGCCUGGGAUAACCAGGAGGAAGGCGGGGAUGACGUCAAAUCAUCAUGCCCCUUAUGGCCAGGGCUACACACGUGCUACAAUGGCGUAAACAGAGGGAAGCGAGACAGCGAUGUUAAGCAAAGCCCAAAAAUAACGCCUCAGUUCGGAUUGCAGCCUGCAACUCGGCUGCAUGAAGCCGGAAUCGCUAGUAAUCGCGGAUCAGAAUGCCGCGGUGAAUACGUUCCCGGGUCUUGUACACACCGCCCGUCACACCAUGGGAGUCGGAAAUGCCCGAAGUCGGUGACCCAACUGAGAAGAGGGAGCCGCCGAAGGCAGGUCCGGUAACUGGGGUG
This 498-nucleotide ribosomal RNA is filed under the name uncultured bacterium. RNAcentral's name for it is "bacterial SSU rRNA". It matches the Rfam family "Bacterial small subunit ribosomal RNA", at positions 985 to 1482 of the family's 1533-position model. The record is from RNAcentral.